This 8404-nucleotide long non-coding RNA is filed under the name Panax ginseng (ginseng). Its description in RNAcentral is "long non-coding RNA (PGIN_LNC017805)". Lineage: Eukaryota; Viridiplantae; Streptophyta; Magnoliopsida; Apiales; Araliaceae. The record is from RNAcentral.
UCAUUUAAGAGAAAAGAUCCAAAGCAUCGUCUACUAGUUUAUCCUUGCAUAAACCGUCAAUGAUGGUGUUGUAAACCACAGUAUUAGGUUCACAACCACCUUUUUCCAUUAUCUUGAGCAACCUAAUGGCCAUGGAAGUGUUGCCUGUUUUGCAAAGCCCAUUGAUAAUGGUGGCGUACAUAACUACAUCAGAUUCAAUCUCUUUUGCCCUUAUCAACUUCUUGAACAAUUCCUCUGCCUCCAGAAACUUGUUUUCUGAAAGGAGCCCCCUUAUGAGAGUAGUGUAGGUAAAGACAUCCGGAACAAAAUCGAAUACAGCUAAUAAUCGAUUGAAAUCGAUUACAGAAGGUAGGGGUCGCAUUUGGAGCAUAGAACCGAACAGAAGAAGAGCAUCUUGGGGCUUAUCAAACCCAGAUUUGCAUUUCUGUAGGAGUAAUUGCUGUAGUUUUGUACGAGGAAGGGAUUGAGAUUGGGGUUUGUUAAGAUUGGGAAAGUAUGGAGUGGGAGAUGAUGGAGUGAGAAAAAAGGAGGAUUAAAGUAGAAGGAAUGUAGGAGAGGAGAUGUAUUACCCGGUGAGAGUUUGAUAUGUAAAAUGGAUGAUCUCAAACCAAUUCCACAAUAUCCCCUUCUUCCCAUUUCUCAACCCCUUUCUUUGAAAAGAUUCCUCUCCCCUUCUUACAGAUAAGAGAAGAGAAGCGAAAGACAGAAAUGGGUAAAAAGUAGAAAACUAAUAUUUUGAUAUGUAAAAAACAAAAAAAAACUUACAAAAACGUGAAAGAGAGUGUAAUUAAUGAAUGAUCCACCAACCAACCAUUUUGUAAGCAACUUUUUAUAACAUUAUUUUGUUAACAAAAUACUAUUGCUAGUCAUUUAUGUACAAUGUCUGGCAACUCGCAAGUCUUCUUUUAACAUAAUCUUUUUUAUAUUUUUCUUAUAUAUAUAUAUAUAUAUAUAUAUAUAUUUUUAAAACUCGACUCCCCAAAGGCAAAAACACUAUCCAUUAAUCGACUAAAAGAAUGGCAUAUAACUUGGCAGUAAUAUCACUCAAUAGCUACAAUCCACACAUACAGUAAGUAGUGUGGAAGAUAUUGUUUCUGUAAUUUGACUACAAACAAAUUCCUCGAAAAAGUAAUCAGAUAGCAACCAACAUAAGCAUAUCUAAAACACCAACUCUCAAAUUUAACCAACAGCAAAAUUUAACAUUCUCAAACCCCAGUAAAAUAAUUGGUUUAAAAACGAUCACAAUAGGGUAAAAGAUUACAAGUGUAAAUCAUGUGAUUACAUGCAAUUACAGAAAUGCAUCCUUCUCGAGCAGCUCGAGCACUUCCGGUUUGUUGUUCAAUUUGGCAACAUCAAUUGGUGACUUACCAUCCAAGUUUUGAAGGGUGCUGCAACAAAGAAAAAAAUAAGAAUUAAAUAACUAAAUAAAACAAUAAGCAGCAACCAAAUGUUUGCCAUAGAAAAUAGCUUACACAGCGGCACCAUUCUCCAGCAGAAGUGCUACACACUCCUUCCUUCCGUAACCAGCUGCAUAAUGAAGAGCAGUAUUCUUAUUCUUAUCCAGGGCAUCCACCUUUGCUCCAGCCUCGAGAAGGACCUGAGCGCAUUUCAACUGGAAUUGCACCAACGCACGUUUGCUUAGCUCAAUUAAACUAGAGGGAGAGACAGAUACAGAGACAGAGGCGCUCGCCACACUACCAUGGAGCUGUUGCUUAGCCUCAUUUCCAAAAAACAAAAAAAAAUGAAGUGUGUAGUUCUUGAACAACAAUUAAUGACCAAAUAUCAAAAAAUGCACGCCAAAAAUAGCUUUUUGGCAGCUGGUCAGGAGUUAGGACAACCAUAUUCCUCAAAGCAUUAACUUGGGACAUUCCCCCCCNNNNNNNNNNNNNNNNNNNNNNNNNNNNNNNNNNNNNNNNNNNNNNNNNNNNNNNNNNNNNNNNNNNNNNNNNNNNNNNNNNNNNNNNNNNNNNNNNNNNCCCCCUUUCUCUUCUUUUUUGUCUUCAUUCUUAAAAAUUUAUUUAUCUUCCAGUCUUUCUUUCUCAUCCUAAAUGCAACCAAAGAUAUUUGGUGUCAUAGAGAUAAGACUUCUGGACUUAACUACUUGUCCUCUCAACUUCAAAAAAUUUAGCAAACACAUUGCAGGUGAAAUACACCACAAGGUGGUUAUUUUCCAGCUAGAAAAUCACCAAGGUCAAUGAAAACGAUAAAUUGAGGUCAAUAAGGUAUUCUAAUUCUUUUGUAAAAAGUAGAAGUUGGCAACAUCCUACAAAUAAAGUUUAAUCCAAGUGGCCCACGGUAUAUAAACCUAAAGUUAAUAUGAUGAACAAUGGUAUAUCUCUUAAAUUAAAAUGCUCAUUUGCUAUAUUUAUUCAAUUAAAUUAGGAUGCACUUUAGGGUUAGCCACAAAACUAAAGGAAAUUUCCAAUUAAAUAAUCCCCCUUAAGAAUAAUUAGAGCUCAAGGCGAGACUUGAUUAUUAUAAAUAGAAAAAGUAGAAAGCAGAUACAAAAUAAGUUUAGUCCAACUAACCCAAAGGAUUAAAAAAAAAUCAGUUAACAUUUUGGCACACAGAGGACAGAACCACUUGGCAUGUUAAGAUUCAGGGGCGAGGGGGAGGUGGGAGAAGUGAAAUAAGAGAGAAUAUAUGGCACUAGUGUAGAAAAUGCACACAUAACAACCUUAUAGAUUUAAAUUCACAUAUUGGGGAAACUAACAACGAAGAAACUAAAUGAUCCCUUGGUUUUCAACAUAUAAACUAGCAAGCUGUAGCUUUUCAAAAUCUCAAAUCAGCAAGUUCAGAUAAUUGACUGAGUACGGGUAAUUCCUUGAGAAGACAAACACAUACAAAAGUGUACAGGGGCCAAAAAGGUCUCAAGGUACUAUCAAUCAUACCUCACCAUAUCCACAUGCAAAAUGCAAAGCUGUCCUACCCUCUGAAUCUUCUUCAUCCUUAUCAGCACCCGAAGCUAGUGCAUUUUUCAAACCCUAAUUAUUAUAGAGCAAUAACAAGUCAACUAUCUUGUAGAGCCACAGAAAAUGCACUCAAUGGUAGGGAGUAUAAGACAUAUUAACUUGAUAUUAAUCAAGUACAACAAAGAAAAAAUAAAACUUGGUGAUUGAUAAUUGGUCUGGUAAAAUAUAAAACUCAGUAGGACUUAUGAGAAGGAAAGAAAUAAAUUCAUAGGUUGAAUCUGUAGAUCAUAGUAACUGAGCAAGGUGCCAUGUUAAGAUGUCAGGACUUGGUGUACAUAUUCUUAUGGUAAACAUUCAAUUAAAUGAACAAAGAGAUUUUCCUUUCUUUAAGAUAAGUUAAACUAAUAUUUUCUUUGCAUCAAAUAAAGCUUUUAGAAAAUAAACAAAAGACAAGAAAAACUUAGUACACUUCAGAAACUCGACAGGAUUUUAUACAACAGUGCGAUUUGCUUCAGCAAAGAGUCAUAAAACCUUAAUAAGAAUGACCUUUAUCUGGGCUAAUAAGCUUGUCAUAUUAGAAUGCCUGGCUGCCUCUUUGUUCAGGGAAGAACCGGGAGGAAGAGUGGGAAAAGGACAAGUGAACAACCAAACUCUAUUUCCUUGAAAAUAAUAGGGCAUACAUGUCUUUCUUGCCAAUGCAGGUGCAAAGUUAAAAAGAUGAACGAACUUGUUCGUUUAGUACUUCAUGAUAAAUCUAUGUCACUUCAAGUACAUAAAUAGUAAAUACAAAACAAUUGUGAUUAAUACAAGUAUAUAUGUAUGUAAAACGACCAAACUCAUAACCAAUAACGUACUUGAACUCAUAAUCUAGAGAACUAAAAAACAGUAAAACUUAGUAAUAAUUACCAAGUAACAAAAGACGAGCAAUUAGUUAAUCCACCUACUUUUUACUUCCAUAAAAAGAGAAAAUUUUAUUAGAAAGGAAAAAGAAUACGAGAGAGAGUGAUACUACUUCUACGAAAAAGAUUCUUCCACAUUUUGACUUUGAUUAAAAUUAUUAUAAAAAAAUUCAUUACAUUUGUAAGUUGUAAUGAACCAAAUGGCACCUAGGACAAGAAUAAACACGGAACUGAGUUACCUCCACAUCACCAACACUAGCAGUGUGAUGAACAAUGGAUUCAUCCUCAUUUUCCACUUCAUCAGUUUCAUCUAACCCAGAGAUUUCAGCAGAAGUGUCAGCAUCUCCUGGAACCGCAAGACCCAUUGCUUCACCCAAUUUCUGGAGAACGUCUUUGUCGUUCCAGUACCUGAAAUAUAAUAGUCAGAUAAUAUGAAUACAGCUGAAGAUAAUUAUUCGCAGAUAAUAUUCGUCUUUUUUAGGAAAAUAGGAUUACUAGCAAAGCCAAAAGUUACUAGAAAAAGGUUUAUGAAGGAUUUAAAACAAAUAGCUGAAAUAGUACACGCACGCCAAUGUUUUUAAGGGGAGUCCAUCCCAAUGAGUUGGAUGGGAAAUAGUCAGUGGGUUAUCUCAAUAGUUUCCUACUACGAUGUAUAGAAUUUCAAGGUCAUGCCUAUAUAAGUUGAUGCAAUAAGUACAUAUGGGUAAUGGUGUAAAUACACAUAUUUCUUUGAAAGUACAAUCAAUAUCGACAUAGAUACGAAAACGACAACAUUGAAUAAUGGAAAGACUGUCAUAAUAUCAAUAGCCGUCAAAAUUUAAGAUCACAAGUUUUUUUUAAAAAAAUAAAAAGAGAAACAUUUUUAGGUUCACCUGAUCUUCUUUCAGUAUAUUGUGACAACCAGCCACAUUGAAGAAGUGAACAAACACCUACACUAUAUGUAUUGCCAUGAAGAUGAACAAUGUUUUUUUAAUAUUAAUUGCUAGAACAAUAGAAAUGUGUAGAACAUAUCACAUCACACACUACACAUUAUUCUAUUCAUAUUUUAAAUGAUAAGUACAAACAGAAGCAUCAAAGACCUCAUCAUUGCAGCCGGGCCUCCACUUUCUAUUUCCUCUAAAAUUGGUUUCAAAGACGGAUAUCAAUGGAAUACAAAUUUGAAGUUCUUCUUGAAUACCUGUGUACAGUGAAGUUGUAAAAAUUUGACACCCUAUGAGAGGCUACGAAAAUAAACUAUAGAAAUAGAACAGGAAAAGGAGGAGAAACUUUGUGUGGUGGGAAGAGCACUAGUAUUACAGUCUAAUAUGCGUAUGAGAUUGAUAUCAUAUAUCCAUGUCAUUCCUUUGUUGUUCGUCUAAAUUCUUGUCCAUGUUGUGCAACUUUUAUAAGUCAAAAUGUGAAGGAAAUUAAGAUCAUUAUUGGUUAUAAUUGCAUCCACAGAAAAACGAAGAAGUGAAUUCAUGCUUUCUUUCCCGUAAAUGACCGAUCAACUAGAAAGGGUGAAUUCAUGCUUUCUUUCCGGUAAAUGACGGAUUAAAAGUUUCACAAAAGUGACAAAAGAAAAGAAAAAUUGUAAAAAUGCUCAUAGAUAAAGGUAGCUCUAUGUUUUGAAGUCGAUCUAGGUCUAAAAUAGUGUCUCAACUCUUCAGUGUCAUCAUUAUAUUAGUUAAGUACAACUCUUAUGCAAUUCUUAAAGUUCCAUUUGUCUUAUUUAAUGUCACAUCACUUAAGACACAUUUGACACCCCUAACAUUAUCUAUGAUUGUAUGAUUAUUUGAAUUUCUUACAAAUCAAUGUUUUUAUUCUUAAAUCUUCGCUUUUAUGCAAGUGGCGUGAAUUUUUUACAUUACCGGCCCAGCCUAAAACCCUAUCCAGCCCUCAGCCCGGCGUGGCCUAGACCCAAUUCAUUCCUAGGUAGAGAUGAAAGCAAUUAACUUUAAAAAAGACAACAUAUUAUAUAAAAAAUUUAUACAAGUCCAAAUUUGAAAGAAUUGCAAUCCUAGUUUGAGAUUAAAUCAAUUUUACAUAAGGAAGACAACACAUUAUAUACCUUUCCAACAUCUACAGAGAAUUUACCAACAAAUGAAAAUCUAGAAUCUCUUAUUUACUUCAGACUGCCAAGGCUAAAAACUUUAAACAUUUGAUAUAUGGUGUAUGGCCUGAAGCUUAAAUUUAAUCACAAGAUCGAGUGACCUAAUGGCAAGAACUUCUGUCGGAUCCAGUUCAUUUGACUAUAGUAGACUGACUAACAUGGAAGUUGUAGCUGCGUCGACCGAGAAGCCCUUGCCAACCAUUUUUUAUAUGAAUGCAGUUGCUUCGUUAUACAUCUUAUUUUGAAAACAUAAUCCAUGGUGUUGCAAGUGAAAUCAUUAGGCAAGCAUUCAUUAGCUUCCAUUACCAUUACAUUCCAUCAUAUGGAAAAAGGACAAUGCUUCAUAAAUAUAUUGGUUUUUGCAAAGGCCAUCGAACAAGAUAUAGCAUGUCCAAAUAUCUGGUCUACAGCCUUGAGCUUGCAUCUCUCAAAAAAAUCUCGUGCUGCAACAUAUCUGCCCUCCUUAAAUAGACCACGUAAAAUAGUGUUGUAAGUUGCAAUUGGGGGUUUCAAACCUUCACGAGGCAUUUGUCGGGAAAGAUCCAUAGCUUUGUUUACUUCCAGCUUCUUGCAAUAUCCAUUUAAUCAAAGUGGUAUACCUACAACUGUCCGGCACAAUUCCCUUGUUCAUCAUGGUUUUAAACACUGCCAAUGCUCCAUGCAUUUGGCCUACCAAACAAUACCCAUCCAUGAGUGUCCUGAAGGAUACUACAUCAGGAUUCAUCUCUUUGAAUCAUUUUUUCGAACACAUGCACUGCUUCUUUUAUUUUCCCUUCCUUGCAAUAUGAAUCAACCAAUAUAUUGAAGGUAAUCACAUCCGGAGAAAUUUUCAUACUGGCCAUCUCACUCGAUAUUUUCUUAGUCUCUCCCCAUCGACCCAAGUUGCAUAGUGAACAUUAAGUUAUAGCACUCGGUGGUAUGCAUUUCUUAUUCAUUUAACAAAAAAAAUCCAAAGCAUCAUCUACUAGUUUAUCCUUGCUUAAACUAUCAAUGACAGUGUUAUAAACCACAUUAUUAGGUUCACCUCGUUCCAUUAUUCUGAGCAACCUAAUUGCCAUGGAAGUGUUGCCUGUUUUGCAAACCCAUUGAUAAGCUUACAUUGUAAUCACAAGACUGAAUGAUGUAAAUCAUCUAACUGAUGGCAAGAACUUCUGACGCAUAGCAAGGAAAUUCGGAUCAUGUUCUUCUGUUGAGAGUAGAUCCAGUAACAUGGAGGUGGUAGAUGCAUCUGCGGAGAAGCCCUUGCCAACCAUUGUUUCUAUGAAUGCACUUCCUUCAUGAUACUUCUUAUUUUGAAAACAUCCGUGAAUAAUAGUGUUGUAGGUGCGAUCAUCUGGCGAACAAUCAUUACCUUCCAUUUCCACAAGUAGCUCGUUUGCUUCCUCCAACAAUCCUUCCUGACAAAGCGCUCGGAUCAUUAUUAUGUAAGUCUUAACAUUUGGCUGCAACCCUUUUAAAGAAAGACUAUCAAAAAUAUUUCUUGCCAUAUCUAGCUUUCCAUCUUUGCACAGUCCAUCAAUGAGGAUAGUGUAAAUACAGAUAUCAGGAAUUAAACCGUUACAUUCCAUUUCGUGAAACACGGACAACGCUUCAUCAAUAUAGUGGUUCCUGCAAAGGCCUUCUAACAAGAUACCACAUGUCAAAAUAUUUGGUCUAUAGCCUUGAGCUUGCAUCUCAUUAAAAAAAAUUUGUGCUGCAGCACAUCUACCCUUUUUAAAUAGCCCUUGCAAAAUAGUGCUAUAACUUACAAUUGUGGGUUUCAAACCUUGAUGGUGCAUUUUCCGGAAGAGGUCUAUAGCUUUGUCUACUUCCAGCUUCUUGCAAUAUCCAUUUAUCAAAGUGUUAUAGCUACAACUGUUCGGCACAAUUCCCUCAUUCAUCAUGGAACUCAACAUCGUCGAUGCUCCGUCCAUUUCUCCUCGCAAACAGUACCCAUCCAUGAGCGCAUUGUAGGUGACAACGUCAGGAUUCACUCCUAUUUGAAUCAUUUUUUCCAACCCAUUUUCUGCAUCUUUUACCAUCCCUUCCUUGUAAUACGAAUCAACUAAUAUAUUAAAGGUAAUAACAUUUGGAGAAACUUUCAUACUGGCCAUCUCACUUAAUAUUUGCUUAGUCUCUCCCCAUCGACCCAAGUUACAUAGACCUUGAACUAAUGAAUUGUGAGUUAUAACACACGGUGGUAUGCCUUUCUUAAUUAUUUCAGAGAAAAGAUCCAAAACAUCGUCUACUAGUUUAUCCUUGCAUAAACCGUCAAUGAUGGUGUUGUAAACCACAGUAUUAGGUUCACAACCACCUUUUUCCAUUAUGUUGAGCAACCGGAUGGCCAUGGAAGUGUUGCCUGUUUUGCACAGCCCAUUGAUAAAGGUGGCGUACAUAACUACAUCAGAUUCAAUCUCUUUUGCCCUUAUCAACUUCUUGAACAAUUCCUCUGCCUCCAGAAACUUGUUUUCUGAAAGGAGCCCCCUUAUGAGAGUAGUGUAGGUAAAGACAUCCGGAACAAA